Molecule: ribosomal RNA, 424 nt
Filed under: Verrucomicrobiota bacterium
Lineage: Bacteria; Pseudomonadati; Verrucomicrobiota
Description: Verrucomicrobia bacterium partial 16S ribosomal RNA
Rfam family: Bacterial small subunit ribosomal RNA
Source: RNAcentral
UGAGGAAUAUUGGUCAAUGGACGGAAGUCUGAACCAGCCAAGUAGCGUGCAGGAUGACGGCCCUAUGGGUUGUAAACUGCUUUUGUAUGGGGAUAAAGUUAGGGACGUGUCCCUAUUUGCAGGUACCAUACGAAUAAGGACCGGCUAAUUCCGUGCCAGCAGCCGCGGUAAUACGGAAGGUCCAGGCGUUAUCCGGAUUUAUUGGGUUUAAAGGGAGCGUAGGCUGGAGAUUAAGUGUGUUGUGAAAUGUAGACGCUCAACGUCGGAAUUGCAGCGCAUACUGGUGUCCUUGAGUACGCACAACGUUGGCGGAAUUCGUCGUGUAGCGGUGAAAUGCUUAGAUAUGACGAAGAACUCCGAUUGCGAAGGCAGCUGACGGGAGCGCAACUGACGCUUAAGCUCGAAGGUGCGGGUAUCAAACAGG